This is a long non-coding RNA of Helianthus annuus (common sunflower), 1042 nucleotides long. RefSeq lists it as uncharacterized. The transcript is spliced from 6 exons. NCBI's taxonomy places the organism in Eukaryota, Viridiplantae, Streptophyta, Magnoliopsida, Asterales, Asteraceae. The record is from RefSeq and is a predicted model, not a curated record.
GCUAAUAUUAGAAUUUUUCAAGCAUUUUAAGUCUUCUACGACUCCCCCCAAAAUCACAUUCAUCAAAUCAACUUCCCUUUGCAAACUAGGGCAACUCCAAUCCUAAAAUUUCUUCCAUCCCCAUCUCCUAACAUCAUCAGAUUGCAGUCAAAUUCCCUCAUCGUCGGGCAUCGUUGUUUCUGUUGUCGCCAUAUCGGAACUCGUCACCUAGAUACCGGAAUCGAGUGCUAGCGGCGAUUGGUACCAACGAAUGGUUCCGUUGAUGCUAAUUGGCGGAUAUUAGUCGGGUUCAGCAGAUAUGUGUCUGAAAGUGCAUUAACUGCAUAAUUUAUAAUCUCAUGGUGAUCCCUCCGUUACAAGGUCAGGGAAUCUGGAGAAUGAUUCUUCAAAGGAUCCUAAGAUUGCUUACAAAUAUAGGUUGUGGACUCUUUCAUCUCAAUAUAUCCCUAAGUUGGAUCUGCAUUACUCACGCACACGAAGAUUGCGAGUAUAAGCGGCGUUUGGUGAUUAGCAUUCUUCUCAAGAGUCGAUUGUAAGUAUUCUUUUCCUGUAACUUGUAAUCGACUUCUUCUUUGUCAGAUAGGAUGUUGGGCUAGCAUUCUUCUCAAGAGUCGAUUUUAUUUUUACUAUCAUUGAGCAAUAUAUGAAAGCUUUGUUUGGUAGACCUACCAACUGAAGGAACAUAUGAUCUCCUCUAAAGAUGAAGUUAUUAAAAUCAAAUAUAGUGGGUUGAGAAGGCUUAUGCUGGAGGAUGUUACGUUUAGUUAAUGUUGUGGGAUGUUGAGAGCUACGCGGGUUCCAGGUAAGGAUCGGGUUCAGAUGAUGAUAGCGGAGUCUUAAUGAGAGACAUGAUGGAGUGGACACAUGUUGUAUGUGAUGGUGGGAUUGCAUGCCUAGGAUCGAACACUUCAUAUGAUAACAAAGAAGAUGAAGAUGUCUAUUGUUUUAUUAGUGACACUUGUGAUUGUGUGAUUUAUUUUAUAUUGUAAAUAAAAACAGUUUUAAGUAAUCAAAUUAAUUUGAUAAACAUUUGUAGUGCAAA